GAUGCCAGGGUUAAAAGGUCUAAGCCCGCAUGAGCUCGCUCAUAAGUGGGUGAAAGACCUUGGAACCCGCCCCGAUAUGAGCAUAAAAGUGAGAUGAUAAUCUCACGAUAUGCGAAUACCGGGUAGGAUUGUGGGAGUGCGUAGCACGGAACAAUCCGUAGGCAUC
Molecule: small RNA, 166 nt
Filed under: uncultured Acetatifactor sp.
Lineage: Bacteria; Bacillati; Bacillota; Clostridia; Lachnospirales; Lachnospiraceae
Description: Clostridiales-1 RNA
Rfam family: Clostridiales-1 RNA
Source: RNAcentral